CAGCGGAUUUCUUGAAGUGCAGCGACAUUCUAUGGCAGCGAACAAUGUGUAUCCACAUAACCUGUAAUAAGUUUUUGUUCGGUGCAGAAACAACCAUGGAAAACAUUAUAUGGAGAAUAUCUCAUUUUGCAUACGAGUAUUUCGCUGAAAAAGAAAAUUCUGUGAAAUCAACAUUUUGGGCUACAUAGUCGUUGUUAAAGUCAACUCUGUUAAUAUAAAACAGCAUAGAUAUAAUCUAAGUACACCAAGUUCUCAAGCAAAAAAUAUAGGUUAUGUUUCCCAGAAAUCAAAUAUAUUUACAAGAGAAAACUUACGAAAAUUUUUAACAGAGGCCCGUGAUUAAUGUACCUAAUGUCAAAGGUAUAUUUUUUAUUCGAAGUUGUAGGAGUAUGCGGAAUGGAAGAAUUUGAACAAUUUUCUUGUAUCUACAUAACCUAUAAUAAGCUUUUAUUAUUAUUACAGAACAGAUUAUUAGCUUACAUGCCCAUUUUAAAUGAAAGUAUGAAGCAUACCUCUUAUUUUUCGGCACUUUUAAUAUUUUUGCUUGCAGAAAGAUUUGUAGCAAUUGCAAAAUAGAGAUGGAUAGCAAUAAUAACAAGCAGUUUACAUGCAUUCGACCGAACUUGCAAAAACUGGCAGAUAAUAUAUCAAAUUUAUUACCUAAAAACUCAGCCACAGUUUAUGAAAAGCGGUAUGAAUUUUUUUUUUGCGCAGAAACAACCAUGCAAAAUAUAUGGAGAACACCUCAUUGCAUACGAGUAUUUCGCUGAAAAAGCAAAUUCUGUGAAAUCUUUAACACUUUGGGCUGCAUAGUCGUAGUUAAAGUCAACUCUGUUAAUAAAAAACAGCAUAGAUAUAUCUAAGUACACCAAGUUUUCAAGCAAAAAAUAUAGGUUACAUUGCCAAGAAAUCAAAUAUAUUUACAAGAGAAGACUUACCAAAAUUUUUAACAGAAGCCCGUGAUUAAAUGUACCCGAUGUUAAAGGUUUAUUUUUUAUUAGAAGUUGUAGGAGCAUGUGGAAUGGAUAAAUUGAAAAAUAAUGACGGCAUUCAAGACAAAAA
Zophobas morio is the source of this 1062-nucleotide long non-coding RNA. RefSeq lists it as uncharacterized. The transcript has 3 exons. The record is from RefSeq and is a predicted model, not a curated record. Lineage: Eukaryota; Metazoa; Arthropoda; Insecta; Coleoptera; Tenebrionidae.